UACGUAGGGCGCAAGCGUUGUCCGGAAUUAUUGGGCGUAAAGAGCUCGUAGGCGGUUUGUCGCGUCUGCUGUGAAAACCCGAGGCUCAACCUCGGGCCUGCAGUGGGUACGGGCAGACUAGAGUGCGGUAGGGGAGAUUGGAAUUCCUGGUGUAGCGGUGGAAUGCGCAGAUAUCAGGAGGAACACCAAUGGCGAAGGCAGAUCUCUGGGCCGUAACUGACGCUGAGGAGCGAAAGCAUGGGGAGCGAACAGG
Molecule: ribosomal RNA, 253 nt
Filed under: uncultured bacterium
Lineage: Bacteria
Description: partial 16S ribosomal RNA
Rfam family: Bacterial small subunit ribosomal RNA
Source: RNAcentral